This 666-nucleotide long non-coding RNA is filed under the name Nicotiana tabacum (common tobacco). Its description in RNAcentral is "long non-coding RNA (NTAB_LNC019473)". Lineage: Eukaryota; Viridiplantae; Streptophyta; Magnoliopsida; Solanales; Solanaceae. The record is from RNAcentral.
ACCUUUUAGGCCCUUAUUCUACACUCCUCCACAACCCUGUUACAAAGCUAUAAAUAAUCAUAAUAGAAGAGGGAAUAGUGAAUUAUUCAACACGGUAACAACAAAUAAGUGAAGUGUAUCACCAAAUAAGUUAAUCACAAAUUUAAGAAGAGCAGUUAAAAUCAGAAAGCACAAAUGGGUAAGAUUACCUUUGGUCACAAUUGUUGAAGGAGAAAACCCAGACUUGAUCGUAGAGAGCGUUUGUUAAAACCUGGAAAAGACGCUUCAAGCACUGAAUUAGCCAAUAAGUGCAUGUAUUAAUCAAAUCAGUUAGACAAACUUGAACAACAAAGUUGCAUUAGAAAGCUAAAAUAUUAACAAAAUAAUUAUCGACAACAUCUAACUUCCUUCAGUGCUUUAUAAAGCUAAAAUAUUAACAAAGUUGCGGAACAAUGGGAGCAAAAAAGGACAAUUAGAUGGAACUCUCAAAUGGAAAAGGAAAAAGGAUAAAUUAGGAGAAUAAAAAGCAGUAGGGGGAGAUAAAAGGGAUUACCAAUUUCUUUUUAGUUCUUGUACUCUAUUGUAGAUUCAACUUAGAAUGUUGUUUCUAUGCUAAUUUUGCACUGUUAUAAUUACGAGAUAGGUAAUAAAAAAAAAGCAGUUCUUUAGCAAUGGAGGAGAGGAAAC